GAUUUCAGGUAAAUCCAGAUUUGGAGCUUGAAUGACUCAAAUGCUUUGCCUACAUUGAUCCUACAUUCAGGCUGCUUACAUAUCUCUUGGCUUCUCUGAGAACCAGAUUGUCACCACUUAAAGUGUCUUCCAGAGUCCUCACGAGUAUCAGAGAAGGCAUAAUCCGUACACGUGGCUCCAUUUAAAAUGAAAAUAUCAAGCAGUGUCAUUUUCACAAGUAUCCCCAUACUGUCUGAGGCUGAAAAGAAGAGUGUAGCUAUGCACACUGCAGUGAGAAGAAAAUUUCAGCUCAAUUGGAGGAUGUAAAGAUUGAAAUAUCACUGCUCCUAGUUCUGAUGCAAAAUUGAAAAGAGUGCACUGGGUCUUCAAAUGGCAGAUUGACAAGGAGAAAGAGGAAAGGAUGCCCCAGGACAGCCUGGGGGUCAAGGCUGGGCUCAGGCAUGCCUGGACAAGCCAUGCAAGUUGUCUCUGGACUUGAACCACGUAUCAGAGGAGCUAUUUGAGGAGCCACAUCAGCAUACCUGCUUCUAUGGGCCCCCAGGCUGUGGUGCUCAGCCCUUGCACUAUGAAACUUUUUUUUUUCCAGAAGCCAAAGCUUUGAGCAUCUCCUCCCAUAUAGAGAGUGUAUAUGUUUACAUCCAUGUCUUUCGCCAUGUGAACGCAUGCAACCACCACCUCAAAUAUCAUAAAUCCUCUCUCUCCCCCUUUCUGUCUGCCUGUUUAUCUACAAUCUGUCUAUUUAAAUUCUUUUUGAACAAGAAGGGAAUAUCUUUAUGCCUGUUUGUAGGGAUAUUCUACAUCCAUCUGUUAUUUACAUCAUUCGUUUUCCUGAGGUGUCUCCAACAAAUCCUGGCUGGAUGCACUGUAUGUGUUAUUAAUAAAACAGCUGUAAAAAUA
Gorilla gorilla gorilla (western lowland gorilla) is the source of this 897-nucleotide long non-coding RNA. RefSeq lists it as uncharacterized. The transcript is spliced from 3 exons. The record is from RefSeq and is a predicted model, not a curated record. Lineage: Eukaryota; Metazoa; Chordata; Mammalia; Primates; Hominidae.